Molecule: ribosomal RNA, 301 nt
Filed under: uncultured bacterium
Lineage: Bacteria
Description: partial 16S ribosomal RNA
Rfam family: Bacterial small subunit ribosomal RNA
Source: RNAcentral
CAGUCGCCACGGUAAUACGGAGGGGGCUAGCGUUGUUCGGAAUUACUGGGCGUAAAGCGCACGUAGGCGGCUUGGUAAGUUAGGGGUGAAAGCCCGGAGCUCAACUCCGGAAUUGCCUUUAAGACUGCCGAGCUAGUAGGUGAGAGAGGUAAGUGGAAUUCCGAGUGUAGAGGUGAAAUUCGUAGAUAUUCGGAAGAACACCAGUGGCGAAGGCGACUCGCUGGACAAGUAUUGACGCUGAGGUGCGAAAGCGUGGGGAGCAAACAGGAUUAGAUACCCCUGUAGUCCCUGUCUCUUAUAC